AUUGAACGCUGGCGGCAGGCUUAACACAUGCAAGUCGAGCGGGGGAAGGUAGCUUGCUACCGGACCUAGCGGCGGACGGGUGAGUAAUGCUUAGGAAUCUGCCUAUUAGUGGGGGACAACAUCUCGAAAGGGAUGCUAAUACCGCAUACGUCCUACGGGAGAAAGCAGGGGAUCUUCGGACCUUGCGCUAAUAGAUGAGCCUAAGUCGGAUUAGCUAGUUGGUGGGGUAAAGGCCUACCAAGGCGACGAUCUGUAGCGGGUCUGAGAGGAUGGUCCGCUACCCUGGGACUGAGACACGGCCCAGACUCCUACGGGAGGCAGCAGUGGGGAAUAUUGGACAAUGGGGGGAACCCUGAUCCAGCCAUGCCGCGUGUGUGAAGAAGGCCUUAUGGUUGUAAAGCACUUUAAGCGAGGAGGAGGCUACUCUAGUUAAUACCUAGGGAUAGUGGACGUUACUCGCAGAAUAAGCACCGGCUAACUCUGUGCCAGCCGCCGCAGUAA
This 501-nucleotide ribosomal RNA is filed under the name uncultured bacterium. Its description in RNAcentral is "partial 16S ribosomal RNA". It matches the Rfam family "Bacterial small subunit ribosomal RNA", at positions 30 to 523 of the family's 1533-position model. The record is from RNAcentral.